This 5791-nucleotide long non-coding RNA is filed under the name Canis lupus familiaris (dog). RNAcentral's name for it is "lncRNA (ENSCAFG00845024915.1)". Lineage: Eukaryota; Metazoa; Chordata; Mammalia; Carnivora; Canidae. The record is from RNAcentral.
UCUUCAUAAAUUUGUUUUUUAUUGGUGUUCAAUUUGCCAACAUAUAGAAUAACACCCAGUGCUCAUCCCGUCAAGUGCUCACCUCAGUGCCCAUCACCAUAUUGAAUUAAUACUGAAUUAAAAUUCAUCAAAGUUAUUACUAUAGAAAAUUAAAAUAACAUAUCCUAGGAAAUUAGCACAUUCAUAGUAGCCUUAUUACCUUAUGCUUGUGUGCAAAUGAGCAUCAGCCUGAAGAUAAUGGCAUUUGCAGAAAAUCAGAGUCAAAUUCUAAGUCAAUUAAUUUGUCUUCAAAAGUACACAAUUAACAAAAAAUUUCAAACAUGUAGUUUUUAAAAAUCUAAAGAAAUACCUACAAUGCCUCUUCCCCCCAAAUAUUAAGCAAUAUUGACAAAAAUUAAAGACCUAAAUAUGUGGAGAAAUAUACCAUGUUCAUGGAUUGGAAGGCUUGGGAUUGUAAAAAUUUUGCCAAAAUUAAUUAAAAAAUAGAAUACGAUCUUAAUUAAAAUCCCAGUGGAUUUUUUUGCAGAAAUAUAUAUUAAAAUGCAAAUAGCCAAGGCAAACUUGGAAAAGGACAAAGUGGAGCAACCUGCUCUAUUUAAUAUAAAAAUAAUUACAGAGCUACAAUAAUAAAGAAAGCGCUGUAUUGAUGGUAAUGACAGAUAGACAAAAGGAUCAGAAUAGAGUACAGAAUACAUCUGGAUAUCUGGAUACCUGAUUUAUGUCUAAUGUAGCACUGCAGAACAAUGGUAGAGGAGUCUUUUUAAUAAAUGUUGUUACAUUAAUUAGAUAUCCAUAUGAAAAAAAUAAAGCUUAACUACUACAUCAUGUAAUAAAUAAAUAAAAAUCAAUUCCAGAUGGCUAAUAUAACAAAAUGUGAAAUGUAAAAGAAUGAAGUAUCUAAAAGAUAACAUGGAGAUUAUAUUUUAAAUGUGAGGUCAGCAAAGAUUUCUGAAAACAUAAAAUGUGCUGGCCAUAGGAGAAAAGAUUGACAAAGUGGAGUAUUCCAUCUUCCACAUCAUGGGUGUCUCCUUCUAUGGUGCAGUUUGGACUCAGAGCUUUUUCGGUGUGAUUAGACUGAAGCUAACGACCAGUUAAGACUUCUCUCUAGCUUAGUUUUUAUUUCCUGUCCUGUCCUGCUUCCCUUAAUCUUUCCCUUGAAGGCAUUUUUUUCAGUAAAUCAUUUGAAAAGAAUCACUAUCUCAGGUUUUGCUCUUAGAUGAACUAAGAUGAAAAUACCCACUCAAGAAAUAUGAAAAAAAUAAAUAUAUAGGAAAUAUUUAAUUUAUUUAUCCUAUAAACUAUUAAAGUGUGAUAUUAAUAACAUGCGGAAUUAUAAAACAAGUAAAAAAGUUUACUUUUAUUCUUUUUGUCUUGACUAUCAAACACUACCACCUUUCAGGUACCUCAUAUACUUGGUUCUCUCUCAUAUGUCAAAACAAGAAAUUACUGAAUGCUUUUAUUCCUUGGUCAUUCAGUGAAUCAAAGUGUUGCAGUCUUAAGUUCAUGAGGUGUUCAAGAGUAUAAAAAGGAAAACAAAUGUGUUUGGUCACUUGACUUGAUCACAGUAAUUUAGCCUGGAUGAAUACAUUUUGGUAAUCUAGAGGUAUUUGAUAUUUUUGCUUGAGUAUCUCCUAAAAUAAUUUUUAACAUUAAAUUUUUUCAAUUGUAAGGUAAAAUUUCAUAUUGAAGUUUUAGUAGUUGCACAUGAUUAUAAGUUCUAGCAAAUGGUAUAUUGUAUUUGGUUGAUAAAUGUUUUCUAUUAUACUAUUAGAGUGGCAAACUUAACUUAUUUAGAGUAAAAAUAUCUGCCGGUGAAUUUUCACAAUCAGUUCUUAAUUGUUAAACCAAUAAUCUAAAUUAGACUUUCUGUGAGGAAAAAAAAAACCAAAACCUGAUUUUGUUUUUCACAAUAAAUGUGUAAAUAAGCAUCCCCACUAUCAUUUAACUUCUGAAUGCAAAGAUACAUAUGUAACACGUGGUUUUCAGAAGAUAGAAUGACAAGAGUCUACCCAUGUGUCUUUCACCUAGAUAAGACAAUACUUUCCUCCAAUAUUUUCACUCAUGCCUUUCUAGAUUUACCAUGUGAUGCUCCCUCAGUGUCACUUCUCAGAUUGUUUCUUUGUUUGGCACUCAAGAGAUUUCAUACUUUGUGAUAACUACCAUACUAAUUUCAGAUGAAUGAGCAGGCAAAAGAGUAUAUGAAGAGAGGUGUGGCAAAGGAGAAGGGGCAGAUCCCAGGAGAUCAUCUGAUAGAUCAGUUUUAAGAAAAAGUAAGUAUGAAUUUUAAAGAUCUGGAAAAUGUCUUCUAAAAAGUGUUCCACCUAGUAACUUCUGGAAAACCUUCUCCUGUCCCUGGGGUAUGCAUUUUGUCACCUUAGCCUCUGGGCCACCCCACCCUUGUCCAGCCUGGAGGUAAGUUAGGCCCUUUGGUCUCUACCCAGGAUUCCUUCUGGGCAGAGAAUAGCUUAGAAAAUUUGUUACUGUUAGUUUCCCCUUUUUAUUUAUUACUCUUCCAUUGCAUAUAACUAAAUUUCAACCCCACUUCAGCACAAAAUGGGAAUACAAGCAGUCUUUCUACUGUUUUUCAGUUCUGUUCUUCUCUGUAUGCCUAAUGUGUAUUUCUUUCUCUCUUUCUGUAGAAACCCUCUUUCUGCUUUCCUGAUCUAUAGGAUAGAAUAAUAGAGCUGCUGAAAUGCCCUUGUAUAAAUAUGACCUGUGUUCUAGAGAAAGACUGAAUUCAAAAUUCUCCAAAUAAAGGAAUCUGAUGGGGAAGAUGGCAUCAUGUACCCAAUCUUUAUCCAUAGAACUAUGACCCCAUAAUUCAUGUAGAAGAUGGGGAUGAGUCAGGUUUGAAAUGUGGCUUCUAAACAGAGAAAACAGCCAGCAUACCCCAAAUGCUUUCCAAGGCUGGGCAAAAGACCUAGCCACAAACACUCAGGACGGAUCUCAGUUCUGAGCUGAGUCAAUGUGCUUCUUGUCUUAGAAAUAUCUUCAUAUUAGUCUAUCCAUAAAGGAAUGAAAUUCUAUGUUCUGAGACUUAAGAAUUUCAUACAAUAGAAGGGACAUUAUUUGGGGAUUGGAAAUGGAGCAGGAGUGAGACAAUCUGCCCAUGAAAUCAUACUACACUUAUUCCUAGGAUGGUAAGUCCAUUGUGGAGGUGGGAAAGGGAGACUAACUUGAAGUGACAUAAGAAGAGGUAUAUAUUUUUUAGCUGCAUACCUUCAAAGAAGUGAUUUGGUUGUUUUCCUAAUAUCAUCCCUCUAUCCACAUGGCUUAUGAUCCUGACCAGCAGAUUAUCCAUGUCCACCCAUACCUUCUACCAACCUUUUCCAGUUCCAUAUUACAGCAGCCUGCAUCUCUGUCCCAGCAUUGUCCUUGGACUCCCCAGCACCUUCCCUGAAUGUGAAGACAGUUGGUAGUGCCUAGGAAUUUGCAUCUCCACCACUGACAGCGUGGGUAAAUACACUCAGCUCCCUGGUCCCUGAUGGGAACAGCUUAGGGGCGUGACUUACAGGCCUGCAGAGGUCCCCUGAAGGAGUUAGUCAAAUUUUCCAUCUCUGGGUCUUGAUUUGACAUCUCACCCUUGCCUUGUUUACUUCCCUUAUCUGUCACUUUCCCUAUUUUCCUUUGGUUGUUUCCUUGGGACACUGCUUAAUAAACACUUUUAUAAGAAUCUUCACCUCACAAUCUGUAUCUAGGUACCCCAACCUUAGGUAACUGACAACCUAUUAGAAUUACAUGGAGAUUUGGUAUACUGGGGAGAAUAGAAAUUAUUUAUCCAGACCAUGAGUGAGAAAAGCAAAGUGAAUUUUACCCUAGAAAAUUAAACCAGAGAUUUUAUAUUUUAUUCAAUAUACAGUGUGUUCCUAUGUGAUGUGUUGUGUGUGUGUGUUGUGUGUGCACUUUGUGGAUGCAUGUGUAAGAGACAGAGACAGACAGAGAGACGGAGAGCUAUAGAUGCAUAAAUAUUAAUGACAUUUAAAAUAACUGCUGAUCUUGAAUCAGAAAAAAAAUACACAUUGUGAGCAUCAGUCGAGGUUUGAAACAAAACCUGAAACUAUACAGGUAUAUAUAAUAUACAUAUGAAAUUAUAUACAUGUAUAUAACUUUAUGUGUUACGUGCAUAUAAAGAGAUUUAAAUAAUUAGCUCACACUCAUAGGCUGGUGAGUCUGAAAUCCAUAUUGGCUGGCUGGAAACUCAGGCAAGAGCCACUGCUGGAGUCUUGAAGGAGAAUUCUUUCUUCUCUAGGAGACCUCAGUUUUUGCUCUUCAGGCCUUUAACUGAUAGGAUGAGGCCCACAUUAUCAAGUCAAUUGAUUGUAGAUAUAGACCACGUCUACAAAAUACCUCCACAGCAACAUCCAGACUAGCAUUUGGUUAAAUAACUGGGUAUUGGGCAGCCCUGGUGGCGCAGCGGUUUAGCGCCGCCUGCAGCCCUGGGCGUGAUCCUGGAGACCCUGGGAUCGAGUCCCAUGUCAGGUUCCCUGCAUAGAGCCUGCUUCUCCCUCUGCCUGUGUUUCUGCCUCUCUCUUUCUCUGUGUCUCUAUGAAUAAAUAAAUAAAAUCUUUAAAAAAUAAAAUAUUUAAAAAAAUAACUGGGUAUUGUGGUCUAGUCCAGUUGACACAAAAAACUACUCAUCACACUGUAGAACUAACAAAGUAAGAAAAAAAUAUUUUUUUUCACUGUACCAGAACAGUACCAAAACACAGCAUUCACAGAAACCACUUAGCAUUUAUGCAGUAUAAUAAAUGUGCAUAGUAUUAUUAAACUGAUCAUAUUAACUUUUUACAAAAGGCAGUGAUUCCUAAACAACUCUAUAUAUGUUAUAUAUCUAUACAUAGAUAUAUUCAUAUUUCUGAGUAAUCUGCACACAUCUUUGAAAAUCAGAAAAGACCUCAGUGCUUCUAGGUGUGCCUAAGACACAUUAGAAGACAUUCUUUCUCAAGUCCAGUUUGUAUAAUAUUAGUAAUUAUUCAUUCUUGUUCAACGCUGCCCAUCUACAGAGGCACUGGAGUGCAGAGCAUGAGGGAGAAACUAAGCCUUGUCCUGAGAGGGAGCUGGUGAGGUUACAAGAAGUGGUGGUAGUGAUACCAGGAAUCUGCUGUGGGACUGCAGGCUCAAGGAAGAUGUAGUAAUAACACAACUGGUCGAAGCGGAGUAUAUCUGAUUCAGCCCAGUAGAGGCUAUGCAACAGGGAUGGAAGAAGAGUUCAACACAAGAAGUGGAUCAGGAUCCAUAGUCAUUCCGGAGUAUCUUAGCACAUGAAACAGAAAUAAGACACAUGCCUUAGUCACUGGGUGGCACACAGUAGAAUGGAGGUCCCACAGGGUUAAUUGGGUUACUUAGAAAUGCUGACUGGUAUUAUUAUUCUUUAUAAAUAUUUGAUCUCUCUGUAAUAUUGGAUAUGUGGGAGGAUCACAUACCUCUUGAAAUUAGGUGUGACCAAAUGAGGAGUUCGGGUCAGUGAAAUGUGAGUAUAGUCAUUUGAGAGAGUCACUUCCAGGCAAAAGCACUUGAUUGCUGGAGCCCAACUCCCCAAGGCUCCCUCUUAUGCCCCCUACUUUGCCUGUGAAAGCACAUGCUGAUAGGGGUGCCUCAGACCUGCAGGUGACUUCAAACUUUGUUAAGUUACUGAGAUUUUUCCUGUAACCUGCCUGUUGGUGACAUGAAAGCAGGCAUAGAAAAUAAUUUAAUAGCUCCAAAACGUAUCAAGAUUCCCCAAUCAGUCUCUCUCUCUCUCUCUCUCUCUCUCUCUCUCUCUCUCUCUAUAUAUAUAUAUAUAUAUAUAUAU